UACGAAGGGGGCAAGCGUUGUUCGGAUUUACUGGGCGUAAAGGGUGCGUAGGCGGUCUAAAAAGUUGGAUGUGAAAGCCCCGGGCUCAACCCGGGAAUAGCAUUCAAAACUGCUAGACUUGAGUGUGGAAGAGGAUGGUGGAAUUUCCAGUGUAGAGGUGAAAUUCGUAGAUAUUGGAAAGAACACCCGUGGCGAAGGCGGCCAUCUGGUCCAUAACUGACGCUGAGGCACGAAAGCGUGGGGAGCAAACAGG
RNAcentral lists this ribosomal RNA (253 nucleotides) under uncultured bacterium. Its description in RNAcentral is "partial 16S ribosomal RNA". It matches the Rfam family "Bacterial small subunit ribosomal RNA", at positions 524 to 776 of the family's 1533-position model. The record is from RNAcentral.